RNAcentral lists this ribosomal RNA (494 nucleotides) under uncultured bacterium. RNAcentral describes it as "partial 16S ribosomal RNA". It matches the Rfam family "Bacterial small subunit ribosomal RNA", at positions 28 to 507 of the family's 1533-position model. The record is from RNAcentral.
GACGAACGCUGGCGGCGCGCUUAACACAUGCAAGUCGAACGGAAAGGCCUGCUUUCCCUUGUGGAUUGCGGGUACUCGCGUGGCGAAUGGGUGAGUAACACGUGAGUGAUCUGCCCCCAACUUGGGUAUAAGCCUGGGAAACUGGGUCUAAUUCCCGAUAGGACUGCAGGGUGGUGCCUGUGGUGGAAAACGAUUUUCUAGUGGUUGGGGAUGAGCUCGCGGCCUAUCAGCUUGUUGGUGGGGUAAUGGCCUACCAAGGCGGCGACGGGUAGCCGGCCUGAGAGGGGGGACGGCCACAUUGGGACUGAGAUACGGCCCAGACUCCGACGGGAGGCAGCAGUGGGGAAUAUUGCACAAUGGGCGGAAGCCUGAUGCAGCGACGCCGCGUGGGGGAUGACGGCCUUCGGGUGGUAAACUCCUUUCGACCGCGAGGAAGCCACCUGGUUGGAAGGGUGGUGACGGUAGUGGUAGAAGAAGCACCGGCUAACUACGUG